RNAcentral lists this ribosomal RNA (200 nucleotides) under uncultured Rhizobiaceae bacterium. RNAcentral's name for it is "partial 16S ribosomal RNA". It matches the Rfam family "Bacterial small subunit ribosomal RNA", at positions 1183 to 1382 of the family's 1533-position model. Lineage: Bacteria; Pseudomonadati; Pseudomonadota; Alphaproteobacteria; Hyphomicrobiales; Rhizobiaceae. The record is from RNAcentral.
GGUCCGUCGAUGGCCCUUACGGGCUGGGCUACACACGUGCUACGAAUGGUGGUGACAGUGGGCAGCGAGCACGCGAGUGUGAGCUAAUCUCCAAAAGCCAUACUCAGUUCGGAUUGGCACUCUGCAACUCGAGUGCAUGAAGUUGGAAUCGCUAGUAAUCGCGGAUCAGCAUGCCGCGGUGAAUACGGUUCCCGGGCCUU